UCAUGUCAUUUCGUGCGUGGACUCAUGAAUGUCAUAAAUGACUCAAAGAAUUGGACGGCCAAUUCUUUGUGACGUGAACUAGGUGCAGAGAGGAGGUGCCUGCUGUCAAAAUCACUUGAAUAUAAUGGAUGACUACAAGCACUCUUUAUGCGAGCUGGUCCAGCAAAGACCAUUUUUGUGUGACCCAACUGAGGCGGACUAUAAAAAUCGGGACCAGCGUGCUCAAGCAUGGGAAGACAUAGACAAGAAGCUUCCACCUUAUAAAAAAAGGUGUCACGGCCAAAGAAACAUGGGCUCAACUUUCAAGGGGGCUGUGCAACGCACUGAAUCGGAAGAGAACUAAGAAGUCUGGUAGCGGUAUCUCAGCUGAUGAUAAGCCGUGGAAAUUCGAAAAGGUUAUGAGUUUUGUCAUAUCUACGAAAAGCAAAAGACCGACGACAACCAAUCUGAGCCAAGAUUCGGACAAUGAACAAGAAGCAUCCGACAUCGAGGAACACUCCAUUAUAACGGAAGCUAUGCAUGCGGCUGGCAUUGACAACGUCAAUGAUCAUGACGACACCGAUGAUGCCGGUACCCAGCUAACUGAACAGCCACAGGAAACGCGCACUAGCGGCAAGGAACCUAAACACCCUAAAACGACAAGUUACAAAAAGAGAAAAACUACUUGAAGCGCAGCAGAUGAUGACGGCCACGUGGGAUUGAUGAGGGCAAUGCAACAACGAAUGGAUGAAAGCAAGGAAUCCCCUAGGCUGAAGUUCUUCAAGUCGCUCAUGCCGAAGGUCGAUUACCUUCAAGCUGAUCAAUUCUUGGACUUUCAAAUUGACGUCCUACAAGCAUUAAAGAAGCAAACCCAGACAGCAAAAUGUCAACUUGAUAAUAUGAAUCGACCCACUACACCAUCAUCUUAGUCGUCCAAUUACAGUAGCGCAUCAUCAUGUCCACCAGGGGCAUUUCAUCGAAUGUCGUCUUUUGGAAUAGAUAAUGUUGACAGCAAUUUCUCUGGCCAUGCUCGUGGCUCAUCUCCGUC
Lineus longissimus is the source of this 1027-nucleotide long non-coding RNA. RefSeq lists it as uncharacterized. The record is from RefSeq and is a predicted model, not a curated record. The transcript is spliced from 3 exons. Lineage: Eukaryota; Metazoa; Nemertea; Pilidiophora; Heteronemertea; Lineidae.